Molecule: ribosomal RNA, 85 nt
Filed under: uncultured bacterium
Lineage: Bacteria
Description: partial 16S ribosomal RNA
Source: RNAcentral
ACACCCGGGGUAGGUACCCGUUAAACGUUACCGGUAACCCGAAAAGGGAGGCGUCGCCGUAGGGGUAAAACUGGUGACUGGGGCU